Molecule: ribosomal RNA, 387 nt
Filed under: Triticum aestivum (bread wheat)
Lineage: Eukaryota; Viridiplantae; Streptophyta; Magnoliopsida; Poales; Poaceae
Description: partial small subunit ribosomal RNA
Source: RNAcentral
AUGCAGGGACGAGGGAGAGGAGGAGUCCUGCUUCCCCGGCGUGCAUCCUCUCUCUCGGAACGACACCCAACCUCAAGCGAGAGAUGCAUGUGUGGGUGGCAGCAGAUCAACCUCCUUCUCAACCAAUGUCAGGCAUCCUCUGUGGAUGAUGACGACAACCAGGGCAUCCACCGCCACGACGACACCCCGCACAUGGUCCAACUCGGCUACAACCUCCUCUACCGCGCGACUGCGGCCGCCGUCGUGUUCGGCAUCGACUACAACCUCCUCUCCAGAUCUUUGGUUCAUUAUACUGACUGCAUGCCACCUCUGUCAUCGCUGCCCCGUCUCCCGCACCAUCGGCACCGCCCCUCCGCCUUCUCCUUUGAUGCUGUAGUGGAUUCUUAG